UGUGGGGGAUGUCUUGGCGCCAGAAGGCGAUGAAGGGCGUGGAAGGCUGCGAAAAGCCUGGGGGAGCUGUCAAACGAGCGUUGAUCCCGGGAUCCCUGAAUUGCGGCAUGCUGAAUCCAUAGGCAUGUCGGGCUAACGCGGUGAACUGAAACAUCUCAGUAACCGUAGGAAAGGAAAGUAAGAACGACUUCCUGAGUAGCGGCGAGCGAAAAGGAACCAGCC
Molecule: ribosomal RNA, 222 nt
Filed under: Cyclophora tenuis
Lineage: Eukaryota; Bacillariophyta; Fragilariophyceae; Cyclophorales; Cyclophoraceae
Description: partial Bacterial large subunit ribosomal RNA
Rfam family: Bacterial large subunit ribosomal RNA
Source: RNAcentral